GACAGAGGGUGCAAACGUUGUUCGGAAUUACUGGGCGUAAAGCGCGUGUAGGCGGUUUGGCAAGUCGGAUGUGAAAGCCCCGGGCUCAACCCGGGAAGUGCACUCGAUACUCCCAAGCUAGAGUAUCGGAGAGGUUGGCGGGAUUCUCGGUGUAGAGGUGAAAUUCGUAGAUAUCGAGAGGAACACCGGCGGCGAAGGCGGCCAACUGGACGAAUACUGACGCUGAGACUCGAAAGCGUGGGGAGCAAACAGG
Molecule: ribosomal RNA, 253 nt
Filed under: uncultured bacterium
Lineage: Bacteria
Description: partial 16S ribosomal RNA
Rfam family: Bacterial small subunit ribosomal RNA
Source: RNAcentral